AUGGAGGAGGCGUUCGACAUGUACCGGCAGUCGGUGAUCGGCGUGGCCCUCAUCGAGACGCUAGACAAGAUGGUGGCCAGCGACAUGCACAACCCCGAGCUCGCCAUGGCCGUCGUCGUGCAGUUCGACAAGGUCGCCCCUUCCCUUCCCUUCCACAUGCUACCACUACACUGCUUCCUCUCCCAAACUCACCGAUCAACAACGAGCAUCUAUCUAGGUGGUGUUUUGAUCCUCGUAAUUGUUGUUGUUUCAGUCCAUCUGCCAUGUGUUGGACAAGCAUGUCACUUAAUCAUAAAGUAA
Molecule: ribosomal RNA, 300 nt
Filed under: Triticum aestivum (bread wheat)
Lineage: Eukaryota; Viridiplantae; Streptophyta; Magnoliopsida; Poales; Poaceae
Description: partial small subunit ribosomal RNA
Source: RNAcentral